GGGUUGUGAGGUUAAGCGACUAAGCGUACACGGUGGAUGCCCUGGCAGUCAGAGGCGAUGAAGGGCGUGCUAAUCUGCGAUAAGCGCCGGUAAGGUGAUAUGAACCGUUAUAACCGGCGAUACCCGAAUGGGGAAACCCAGUGUGAUUCGUCACACUAUCAUUAACUGAAUCCAUAGGUUAAUGAGGCGAACCGGGGGAACUGAAACAUCUAAGUACCCCGAGGAAAAGAAAUCAACCGAGAUUCCCCCAGUAGCGGCGAGCGAACGGGGAGGAGCCCAGAGCCUGAAUCAGCAUGUGUGUUAGUGGAAGCGUCUGGAAAGGCGCGCGAUACAGGGUGACAGCCCCGUACACAAAAGCGCAUGUGCUGUGAGCUCGAUGAGUAGGGCGGGACACGUGGUAUCCUGUCUGAAUAUGGGGGGACCAUCCUCCAAGGCUAAAUACUCCUGACUGACCGAUAGUGAACCAGUACCGUGAGGGAAAGGCGAAAAGAACCCCGGCGAGGGGAGUGAAAAAGAACCUGAAACCGUGUACGUACAAGCAGUGGGAGCACCCUUUGGGUGUGACUGCGUACCUUUUGUAUAAUGGGUCAGCGACUUAUAUUCUGUAGCAAGGUUAACCGAAUAGGGGAGCCGGAGGGAAACCGAGUCUUAACCGGGCGUUAAGUUGCAGGGUAUAGACCCGAAACCCGGUGAUCUAGCCAUGGGCAGGUUGAAGGUUGGGUAACACUAACUGGAGGACCGAACCGACUAAUGUUGAAAAAUUAGCGGAUGACCUGUGGCUGGGGGUGAAAGGCCAAUCAAACCGGGAGAUAGCUGGUUCUCCCCGAAAGCUAUUUAGGUAGCGCCUCGUGAAUUCAUCUCCGGGGGUAGAGCACUGUUUCGGCUAGGGGGCCAUCCCGGCUUACCAACCCGAUGCAAACUGCGAAUACCGGAGAAUGUUAUCACGGGAGACACACGGCGGGUGCUAACGUCCGUCGUGAAGAGGGAAACAACCCAGACCGCCAGCUAAGGUCCCAAAGUCAUGGUUAAGUGGGAAACGAUGUGGGAAGGCCCAGACAGCCAGGAUGUUGGCUUAGAAGCAGCCAUCAUUUAAAGAAAGCGUAAUAGCUCACUGGUCGAGUCGGCCUGCGCGGAAGAUGUAACGGGGCUAAACCAUGCACCGAAGCUGCGGCAGCGACACUGUGUGUUGUUGGGUAGGGGAGCGUUCUGUAAGCCUGCGAAGGUGGCCUGUGAGGG
RNAcentral lists this ribosomal RNA (1236 nucleotides) under Salmonella enterica subsp. enterica serovar Enteritidis. Its description in RNAcentral is "partial 23S ribosomal RNA". It matches the Rfam family "Bacterial large subunit ribosomal RNA", at positions 1 to 1269 of the family's 2925-position model. The record is from RNAcentral. Lineage: Bacteria; Pseudomonadati; Pseudomonadota; Gammaproteobacteria; Enterobacterales; Enterobacteriaceae.